CCUGCCUCUAGAGGCCUUGCAGGUGUGGCUGCCGUGUCACAUGUGCAACAGUACAUGGCAGAGAAGAGAGAGGUUAUGUCUAUGCUCAGUGAUCUGACAGAUGAACAUCUGAAUGAUUAGUAGCCUAGCAUU
This is a small nucleolar RNA of Apodemus sylvaticus (European woodmouse), 132 nucleotides long. RefSeq annotates it as small nucleolar RNA SNORA17. The transcript has a single exon. The record is from RefSeq and is a predicted model, not a curated record. Lineage: Eukaryota; Metazoa; Chordata; Mammalia; Rodentia; Muridae.